This 484-nucleotide ribosomal RNA is filed under the name uncultured bacterium. RNAcentral describes it as "partial 16S ribosomal RNA". It matches the Rfam family "Bacterial small subunit ribosomal RNA", at positions 28 to 523 of the family's 1533-position model. The record is from RNAcentral.
GACGAACGCUGGCGGCGUGCUUAACACAUGCAAGUCGAACGAUGAAGCCGGAGCUUGCUCUGGUGAAUUAGUGGCGAACGGGUGAGUAACACGUGAGUAACCUGCCCUUGACUCUGGGAUAACUGCUAGAAAUGGUAGCUAAUACCGGAUACGACCCUCGGAGGCAUCUCCAGGGGGUGGAAAGAAUUUCGGUCAAGGAUGGACCCGCGGCCUAUCAGCUAGUUGGUGAGGUAACGGCUCACCAAGGCGACGACGGGUAGCCGGCCUGAGAGGGUGGCCGGCCACACUGGGACUGAGACACGGCCCAGACUCCUACGGGAGGCAGCAGUGGGGAAUAUCGCACAAUGGGCGCAAGCCUGAUGCAGCAACGCCGCGUGAGGGAUGACGGCCUUCGGGUUGUAAACCUCUUUUAGUAGGGAAGAAGCGAAAGUGACGGUACCUGCAGAAAAAGCACCGGCUAACUACGUGCCAGCAGCCGCAGUAA